CAGAGGGUGGCGAGCGUUGUCCGGAAUCACUGGGGCGUAAAGGGCGGCGUAGGCGGCUUUUCAAGCGUGCGGUGAAAGCUCGGGGCUUAACUCCGAGUCUGCCGUGCGAACUGGGAGGCUUGAGUCUGGUAGAGGUCGAUGGAAUUCCGGGUGUAGCGGUGGAAUGCGUAGAGAUCCGGAAGAACACCGGUGGCGAAGGCGGUCGACUGGGCCAGUACUGACGCUGAGGCGCGACAGCGUGGGGAGCAAACAGGAUUAGAUACCCUGGUAGUCCACGCCGUAAACGAUGGGCACUAGAUCCUUGGGGGAGCGACCCCUUGAGGGUCGGCGCUAACGCAUUAAGUGCCCCGCCUGGGGAGUACGGCCGCAAGGCUG
Molecule: ribosomal RNA, 375 nt
Filed under: uncultured organism
Description: bacterial SSU rRNA
Rfam family: Bacterial small subunit ribosomal RNA
Source: RNAcentral